GUAUUAGGUUUGUGUUUACAUUGGUCUCCAGAAAAGGUUUCAUAGAUUUCGAUAAGCCGUGUUACGUGAUGUUACUUACCUUUGGAUCAAACAUAAAGAACUGUGUUGUCCUUCUCCAGAAAUAUCUCUUGACGUGCAGAAUAUAUUGGGCUAUAUUUAAUAAAUUGCGAUUGUUGUGGAGCAAUCACACUGGAAACCAACCAAACCUUCUUGUUAAUUACUUAACAUUUUCAGCUUUACAAAUACACCGCGGCGUUCUUCCCACAUCAGCAAUGCAUAUUCCCAAUAAUUCUUUAAUGCAAAAUAGAGCAUUUGCACAUAAUGUGGGCAUGUUUAAAUUCUGUCAUAUGUAUAAAUCCAACGUACAAUGGAACUGAAUCGUAAAUGCAGCAUGUACGACACACUGAUAUUUAGUAGAUAAUGGCCUAAUAAAAAAAAAGAGAGAAAAGUUUCCAUAACAUGUAUGUAGUUUAUUUUCCCCUAUAACUUAUUUUUAUUUAAAGUAUUUUUUUUCUAUUUCGAUCUGGGAUUUUGUCAGCCCGAGGGUCAGCAAAAUGAAGAAAAAGAAAGCCAGGUUACAUUAAUUAAUUUUAAGGGGUUAAAAUCAAAUACGUGUUGUAGUGUUUUUACUGGAACCCUGUAAGCAGUGCAAGGGUUAAAAAGUAGGGUGCCUACUUUGGUCAAUCCUCUAGGUCUAAAAGAAUUAAAAUAGUAAUAAUUUCUCUAUUUUCUUUUUUUUGAUAAAGGAUAUACGGCAGGCGAAGAAUAUCUAUACUUUAUAUAAUAUCACUAGGGGUUCCGGCCCCUUCUCCCAGCGAUGUAAAUACUUUCCCACAGCCGUGCAUAUAUUUACUGUGUUAAUUGUCCUGUAACUGGUGAAUGGACACAUUUCUGGGUGCCUUAGAAGUCGUAUUUUUCAUGUGUGUUAAAAUACAGUAUUUAUACAUUGUGGAAAAAGCUGCUUUGAAUAAAAACUCUCAAAUUUC
Spea bombifrons (plains spadefoot toad) is the source of this 986-nucleotide long non-coding RNA. RefSeq lists it as uncharacterized. The transcript is spliced from 2 exons. Lineage: Eukaryota; Metazoa; Chordata; Amphibia; Anura; Pelobatidae. The record is from RefSeq and is a predicted model, not a curated record.